RNAcentral lists this ribosomal RNA (476 nucleotides) under Candidatus Scalindua wagneri. RNAcentral's name for it is "bacterial SSU rRNA". It matches the Rfam family "Bacterial small subunit ribosomal RNA", at positions 365 to 832 of the family's 1533-position model. Lineage: Bacteria; Pseudomonadati; Planctomycetota; Candidatus Brocadiia; Candidatus Brocadiales; Candidatus Scalinduaceae. The record is from RNAcentral.
UUCGCAAUGCCCGAAAGGGUGACGAUGCGACGCCGCGUGAGCGAAGAAGGCCCUAGGGUUGUAAAGCUCUGUCGAGGGUUAUGAAAUAUAGAUGGGUUAAUACCCCAUUUAUUUGACAAAAGCCCAAAAGGAAGCCACGGCUAACUCUGUGCCAGCAGCCGCGGUAAUACAGAGGUGGCGAGCGUUGUUCGGUAUUAUUGGGCGUAAAGAGCACGUAGGUGGUUUUGUAAGUCAGGUGUGAAAGCCUUCUGUUCAAAGGGAGAACGGCAUCUGAAACUGCAGAUCUUGAGUGUAGGAGGGGAGAGUGGAACUUCUGGUGGAGCGGUGAAAUGCGUAGAUAUCAGAAGGAACGUCGGCGGCGAAAGCGACUCUCUGGCCUAUUACUGACACUGAGGUGCGAAAGUUAGGGGAGCAAACGGGAUUAGAUACCCCGGUAGUCCUAACCGUAAACGAUGGGCACUAAGUAGAGGGGUUUU